RNAcentral lists this ribosomal RNA (495 nucleotides) under uncultured bacterium. RNAcentral describes it as "partial 16S ribosomal RNA". It matches the Rfam family "Bacterial small subunit ribosomal RNA", at positions 28 to 507 of the family's 1533-position model. The record is from RNAcentral.
GACGAACGCUGGCGGCGUGCCUAAUACAUGCAAGUAGAACGCUGAAGGGGGAGCUUGCUUCUCCGGAUGAGUUGCGAACGGGUGAGUAACGCGUAGGUAACCUGCCUGGUAGCGGGGGAUAACUAUUGGAAACGAUAGCUAAUACCGCAUAACAGUAGAUAUCGCAUGAUAUCUGCUUGAAAGGUGCAAUUGCAUCACUACCAGAUGGACCUGCGUUGUAUUAGCUAGUUGGUGAGGUAACGGCUCACCAAGGCGACGAUACAUAGCCGACCUGAGAGGGUGAUCGGCCACACUGGGACUGAGACACGGCCCAGACUCCUACGGGAGGCAGCAGUAGGGAAUCUUCGGCAAUGGACGGAAGUCUGACCGAGCAACGCCGCGUGAGUGAAGAAGGUUUUCGGAUCGUAAAGCUCUGUUGUAAGAGAAGAACGAGUGUGAGAGUGGAAAGUUCACACUGUGACGGUAUCUUACCAGAAAGGGACGGCUAACUACGUG